ACGCUCGACACCUACGAGGCAGCAGUCGGGAAUAUUGCGCAAUGGAGGAAACUCUGACGCAGUGACGCCGCGUAUAGGAAGAAGGUUUUCGGAUUGUAAACUAUUGUCGUUAGGGAAGAGAAAGGACAGUACCUAAGGAGGAAGCUCCGGCUAACUACGUGCCAGCAGCCGCGGUAAUCUGAGCGGGCUGGCAAGGC
Molecule: ribosomal RNA, 197 nt
Filed under: uncultured bacterium
Lineage: Bacteria
Description: partial 16S ribosomal RNA
Rfam family: Bacterial small subunit ribosomal RNA
Source: RNAcentral